GCUCAGGAUGAACGCUGGCGGCGUGCCUAAUACAUGCAAGUCGAGCGACUGAUUAGAAGCUUGCUUCUAUGACGUUAGCGGCGGACGGGUGAGUAACACGUGGGCAACCUGCCUGUAAGACUGGGAUAACUUCGGGAAACCGAAGCUAAUACCGGAUAGGAUCUUCUCCUUCAUGGGAGAUGAUUGAAAGAUGGUUUCGGCUAUCACUUACAGAUGGGCCCGCGGUGCAUUAGCUAGUUGGUGAGGUAACGGCUCACCAAGGCAACGAUGCAUAGCCGACCUGAGAGGGUGAUCGGCCACACUGGGACUGAGACACGGCCCAGACUCCUACGGGAGGCAGCAGUAGGGAAUCUUCCGCAAUGGACGAAAGUCUGACGGAGCAACGCCGCGUGAGUGAUGAAGGCUUUCGGGUCGUAAAACUCUGUUGUUAGGGAAGAACAAGUACGAGAGUAACUGCUCGUACCUUGACGGUACCUAACCAGAAAGCCACGGCUAACUACGUGC
Molecule: ribosomal RNA, 504 nt
Filed under: Bacillus sp. (in: firmicutes)
Lineage: Bacteria; Bacillati; Bacillota; Bacilli; Caryophanales; Bacillaceae
Description: bacterial SSU rRNA
Rfam family: Bacterial small subunit ribosomal RNA
Source: RNAcentral